This 1185-nucleotide long non-coding RNA is filed under the name Apteryx rowi (Okarito brown kiwi). RNAcentral describes it as "lncRNA (ENSARWG00000004927.1)". The record is from RNAcentral. Lineage: Eukaryota; Metazoa; Chordata; Aves; Apterygiformes; Apterygidae.
GCUCCGGGCGCCCCGCGGAGGGGACGGCCGUUGGGGCCGUUGGCGGGAGGGGUCACCUGAUCGCCCGCGCGUCCCCGCCGCGGCCUCGCUCUCUCCCGGCGYAGGUCCCGCGCAGCGCGGUUGAAAGCGUCACGUGGCUGCGCCCGCCGCCAGUCAUAGAGGCAGGCGCGGGAGGGUAGAGCGGCCUCGUGCUGACGAGCUCCCGCGCCGCCAUCUUGGUUGUGGGCAGGAGCUGUAAGGCGGCGCCUCGACCGUUGCUCUGGCGCCGCGCGCGUGAGGUGGCUGCGCCCGAUCCGGCCUCGUCCCGUCACCGCCGCUCCCGGGCCCUCGCCGCAGGGGGGACGGUUGUGGUGCCCCCACGGGAGAGGAACCCGGGGCCGCGGAGGGGCGCUGCCGCUCCCCGCCAGGCGUGCGGUGCGCCUCGGGCGUCUGCCGCCGCCGCCGGAGAAGGCGGAGAGGAACGGGAAGGUGGCAAAAGUUGCUGGCGGUGAGGACAGCCAGGCGGUCAGGGGCACAGAGGUGCUCUGGUGCGCCCUGAGAACUGGGAGUGAAUCAGUGAAACGCCACCGUAAAGACGAAGUGAAGUCUUGCUCCCUAGCAACCCAAGUGGCAUGUUUACUGAGUGAAAACAGGGCAUUUUGGAGCAAGGCUAUCCAGGAACUGCAGAGUUGCUGUUUCUCAGGACAGCGAGUGAGAAUGGAGUCCUGGAGCCCUCUGGUGGAUGUAUGUAGAAAGAAGACAGCUGAAAAUAACAGAAACUUCAUGGAGCCUGAAGGCGAGGGAGCACACCUCAUUCUCAAAGACAACCUCCUUGAUUAUUAUGCUGUGGUUUCCUUUAAAUCUCUGCUGGAGUGGAGUGGAAGAUCUGUCCAUGGCCUGGCUCCAAGACCAAAUCCCUGGUGAAUGUAGCCUGACAGAGAGAAUGAAAGGACAGAAUAAGAGAAAAAAAGAGGAAAGGAGGAAAAGGGAGGCACUGUGACCCUUGUGCUGAAGCCUUGUGAGCGUGGCAGAGACUUCUGUGUGUUUGUGUGGAAYGGGGGCUGUUUAGAUAAACAGAUGGCAACAAAUGGCAUAAAAUUAUAUACCCAUAAUGUCAGUUCAUAACAUUUUGUUCGACAUACUUGAUUUAAUCGCUUAGCUGACGAUUUUGCUUUUGGGCCCAUAUGGUGGCAAAUGGCAAAUGAA